UCCGAUAUGGUGUAUCGGCUAGCAUCGCCCGCUUUCAAGUCAACAACAGUUGCUUCCAAGCGUCUGAAAAAGGUACUUAGUACCGGGCAGAGCCGGGUUCGACUCCCGGUAUCGGAA
Zalaria obscura is the source of this 117-nucleotide non-coding RNA. NCBI's taxonomy places the organism in Eukaryota, Fungi, Ascomycota, Dothideomycetes, Dothideales, Zalariaceae. The record is from the annotation of a GenBank genome assembly.